UACAGAGGUCCCAACCGUUGUUCGGAUUCAUUGGGCGUAAAGCGUGCGCAGGCGGUCGGAUAAGUCGAAUGUGAAAGCCCCCGGCUCAACUGGGGAGGGUCAUUCGAUACUGUUCGACUCGAAGGCAGGAGAGGGAAGUGGAAUUCCCGGUGUAGUGGUGAAAUGCGUAGAUAUCGGGAGGAACACCAGUGGCGAAGGCGACUUCCUGGCCUGUUCUUGACGCUGAGGCGCGAAAGCUAGGGGAGCAAACGGG
This 253-nucleotide ribosomal RNA is filed under the name uncultured bacterium. RNAcentral describes it as "partial 16S ribosomal RNA". It matches the Rfam family "Bacterial small subunit ribosomal RNA", at positions 524 to 776 of the family's 1533-position model. The record is from RNAcentral.